UGUGUGUGUGUGUGUGUGUGUGUAUAAGGUGAAGGAUGCAAGUAAAUAGGGUUUCCCUGUAAGCAGGGCAAUGUGUGAAAUAUUUACCAAAGGAGAUGGCGUGGGCACAAUCAGAAUGGACACUGGACAUGGUCAGGACAAAUGCCAGCUGUAAACAACUAUUCCAGACUUACUGGUUCUUUUUAACAAGUUGCAACUGUGCGAUUAUUAUCAUUAGGAUAAUUAUAGUAUGGGAAGCUCUGAAACAUUUGAGUACUGUAUUAGUCUGGAUAACUAACGACUAGCUGCCACAAUAGACCAACUCUGAAAUGUUAGGGGCUUUACACAACUAAAAUUUUUUUUCUUGCUCACACAAAGUGGUGAUGUCAGCAGAGACUGUCUUCCACUCUGAGUCCCCAGUCCUCUCCAUCUUGUGAUGCUGCCGUAUUAGUGCAUCGAUUCCGAAGUCACUGCACAAGAGACGGAAGAGGGCUCCCCGUGAUUCUCACCCACCUUGACCUACAAGUGAUACAUGACGCUUCUGCUUACCUUUCACUGGCCAGAACUAGACACAUGCUCCAACCUAACUGCAAGAGUGGAAAAUGUAGGGGAGCACAUCAAUCGUUUUGUUAGAAUGAAGAUAUGCUGAUGGUGAGCCAGCUUUGUUUCUGUGAAGGCAUGAGGGCAAUGGAGGGGGUGCGUGUGGAGCCACAAGACAGAGGAAGAUUAGCCCUGAGCUAACAUCUGCUGCCAAUCCUCCUC
This is a non-coding RNA of Equus caballus (horse), 741 nucleotides long. Lineage: Eukaryota; Metazoa; Chordata; Mammalia; Perissodactyla; Equidae. The record is from RefSeq and is a predicted model, not a curated record.